UCUGGGAGAUAGCCUUUCGAAAGGAAGAUUAAUACCCCAUAAUAUGACGAAUGGCAUCAUUUGUUAUUGAAAGCCCCGGCGGAUAGAGAUGGGCACGCGCAAGAUUAGCUUGUUGGUGAGGUAACGGCUCACCAAGGCGAUGAUCUUUAGGGGGCCUGAGAGGGUGAUCCCCCACACUGGUACUGAGACACGGACCAGACUCCUACGGGAGGCAGCAGUGAGGAAUAUUGGACAAUGGGUGAGAGCCUGAUCCAGCCAUCCCGCGUGAAGGACGACGGCCCUAUGGGUUGUAAACUUCUUUUGUACAGGGAUAAACCUAUCUACGUGUAGAUAGCUGAAGGUACUGUACGAAUAAGCACCGGCUAACUCCGUGCCAGCAGCCGCGGUAAUACGGAGGGUGCGAGCGUUAUCCGGAUUUAUUGGGUUUAAAGGGUCCGUAGGCGGGUCUGUAAGUCAGUGGUGAAAUCUCAUAGCUCAACUAUGAAACUGCCAUUGAUACUGCAAGCCUUGAGUGAAUUUGAAGUGGCUGGAAUAAGUAGUGUAGCGGUGAAAUGCAUAGAUAUUACUUAGAACACCGAUUGCGAAGGCAGGUCACUAAGAUUCAACUGACGCUGAUGGACGAAAGCGUGGGGAGCGAACAGGAUUAGAUACCCUGGUAGU
Molecule: ribosomal RNA, 660 nt
Filed under: Chryseobacterium sp.
Lineage: Bacteria; Pseudomonadati; Bacteroidota; Flavobacteriia; Flavobacteriales; Weeksellaceae
Description: bacterial SSU rRNA
Rfam family: Bacterial small subunit ribosomal RNA
Source: RNAcentral